UCUUUAUGUGACCUUCCUAAACAGAUGGAAGGUGAUCAACAGAGAGCCUCUGAAUAGACUAAGAACAUCUUAAGUAAUUUAGUUGCUGCUGUUGACAAUUUGUGGUAUCUAAAAGAUGGAAUACAUACUGUAGUCUUGAAAAAACUUUCAGAAAAUGGAUCUUGCAGGCAAAGGACACCAAGUGAAUUAGAUAGAGAGGUUAAGAACUUGAGGGUGGCAUUUACUGACCUGUUUUUGAAGCAUAACACUUUCAAAGAAACUGCAAAGCCAUCGAGAUAUUGAUGCAAAGAAUAAAGCCGAGCUUAGAAUAUUAAGAGGUAACUCCUAGUGAGUGGAGAGAAGGCACUUCAACUUGGAUUGCAAGUAAUUGCAAAGAUUAAGGGCUAUGCUGAUGCAGCUCAGGCACCUGAAUUCUUUACAACUGCUCCAGCCCUUGUGAUACCAAAAGCUAUUUCAAAUGCUGGUUAAGAUGCUUCUCAGAUUGAUUACUACGAAAUAAAUGAAGCAUUUUCUGUAAGAUUUUAGUACUUGUAAUCCCUACACUGUUCCUGAUUUAGUAAGCAUUUUUUUUCAUUCAUUUAUAUUUGUCCUUCUUCUCUCUAGGUU
This is a long non-coding RNA of Humulus lupulus (European hop), 606 nucleotides long. RefSeq lists it as uncharacterized. NCBI's taxonomy places the organism in Eukaryota, Viridiplantae, Streptophyta, Magnoliopsida, Rosales, Cannabaceae. The transcript is spliced from 3 exons. The record is from RefSeq and is a predicted model, not a curated record.